AGAGUUUGAUCCUGGCUCAGGACGAACGCUGGCGGCGUGCCUAAUACAUGCAAGUCGUACGCUUCUUUUUCCACCGGAGCUUGCUCCACCGGAAAAAGAAGAGUGGCGAACGGGUGAGUAACACGUGGGUAACCUGCCCAUCAGAAGGGGAUAACACUUGGAAACAGGUGCUAAUACCGUAUAACAAUCGAAACCGCAUGGUUUUGAUUUGAAAGGCGCUUUCGGGUGUCGCUGAUGGAUGGACCCGCGGUGCAUUAGCUAGUUGGUGAGGUAACGGCUCACCAAGGCCACGAUGCAUAGCCGACCUGAGAGGGUGAUCGGCCACAUUGGGACUGAGACACGGCCCAAACUCCUACGGGAGGCAGCAGUAGGGAAUCUUCGGCAAUGGACGAAAGUCUGACCGAGCAACGCCGCGUGAGUGAAGAAGGUUUUCGGAUCGUAAAACUCUGUUGUUAGAGAAGAACAAGGAUGAGAGUAACUGUUCAUCCCUUGACGGUAUCUAACCAGAAAGCCACGGCUAACUACGUGCCAGCAGCCGCGGUAAUACGUAGGUGGCAAGCGUUGUCCGGAUUUAUUGGGCGUAAAGCGAGCGCAGGCGGUUUCUUAAGUCUGAUGUGAAAGCCCCCGGCUCAACCGGGGAGGGUCAUUGGAAACUGGGAGACUUGAGUGCAGAAGAGGAGAGUGGAAUUCCAUGUGUAGCGGUGAAAUGCGUAGAUAUAUGGAGGAACACCAGUGGCGAAGGCGGCUCUCUGGUCUGUAACUGACGCUGAGGCUCGAAAGCGUGGGGAGCAAACAGGAUUAGAUACCCUGGUAGUCCACGCCGUAAACGAUGAGUGCUAAGUGUUGGAGGGUUUCCGCCCUUCAGUGCUGCAGCUAACGCAUUAAGCACUCCGCCUGGGGAGUACGACCGCAAGGUUGAAACUCAAAGGAAUUGACGGGGGCCCGCACAAGCGGUGGAGCAUGUGGUUUAAUUCGAAGCAACGCGAAGAACCUUACCAGGUCUUGACAUCCUUUGACCACUCUAGAGAUAGAGCUUCCCCUUCGGGGGCAAAGUGACAGGUGGUGCAUGGUUGUCGUCAGCUCGUGUCGUGAGAUGUUGGGUUAAGUCCCGCAACGAGCGCAACCCUUAUUGUUAGUUGCCAUCAUUCAGUUGGGCACUCUAGCAAGACUGCCGGUGACAAACCGGAGGAAGGUGGGGAUGACGUCAAAUCAUCAUGCCCCUUAUGACCUGGGCUACAC
RNAcentral lists this ribosomal RNA (1239 nucleotides) under Enterococcus faecium. RNAcentral's name for it is "bacterial SSU rRNA". It matches the Rfam family "Bacterial small subunit ribosomal RNA", at positions 8 to 1219 of the family's 1533-position model. Lineage: Bacteria; Bacillati; Bacillota; Bacilli; Lactobacillales; Enterococcaceae. The record is from RNAcentral.